UCUUUGAUGAUCUAACGGUUAUGAUUUCCGCUUAUCACGCGGGAGACCGGGGUUCGUCUCCCCGUCAGAGAG
This 72-nucleotide transfer RNA is filed under the name Blumeria graminis f. sp. tritici 96224. RNAcentral describes it as "tRNA-Asp (ATC) (tRNA-Asp-ATC-1-1)". It matches the Rfam family "tRNA". Rfam says of the family: Transfer RNA (tRNA) molecules are approximately 80 nucleotides in length. RNAcentral also lists the same sequence under 2 other names. The record is from RNAcentral. Lineage: Eukaryota; Fungi; Ascomycota; Leotiomycetes; Helotiales; Erysiphaceae.